RNAcentral lists this ribosomal RNA (1361 nucleotides) under uncultured bacterium. RNAcentral describes it as "bacterial SSU rRNA". It matches the Rfam family "Bacterial small subunit ribosomal RNA", at positions 28 to 1381 of the family's 1533-position model. The record is from RNAcentral.
AUUGAACGCUGGCGGCAGGCCUAACACAUGCAAGUCGAGCGGUAGCACAGAGAGCUUGCUCUCGGGUGACGAGCGGCGGACGGGUGAGUAAUGUCUGGGAAACUGCCUGAUGGAGGGGGAUAACUACUGGAAACGGUAGCUAAUACCGCAUAACGUCGCAAGACCAAAGUGGGGGACCUUCGGGCCUCAUGCCAUCAGAUGUGCCCAGAUGGGAUUAGCUAGUAGGUGGGGUAAUGGCUCACCUAGGCGACGAUCCCUAGCUGGUCUGAGAGGAUGACCAGCCACACUGGAACCGAGACACGGUCCAGACUCCUACGGGAGGCAGCAGUGGGGAAUAUUGCACAAUGGGCGCAAGCCUGAUGCAGCCAUGCCGCGUGUGUGAAGAAGGCCUUCGGGUUGUAAAGCACUUUCAGCGGGGAGGAAGGCGAUAAGGUUAAUAACCUCAUCGAUUGACGUUACCCGCAGAAGAAGCACCGGCUAACUCCGUGCCAGCAGCCGCGGUAAUACGGAGGGUGCAAGCGUUAAUCGGAAUUACUGGGCGUAAAGCGCACGCAGGCGGUCUGUCAAGUCGGAUGUGAAAUCCCCGGGCUCAACCUGGGAACUGCAUUCGAAACUGGCAGGCUAGAGUCUUGUAGAGGGGGGUAGAAUUCCAGGUGUAGCGGUGAAAUGCGUAGAGAUCUGGAGGAAUACCGGUGGCGAAGGCGGCCCCCUGGACAAAGACUGACGCUCAGGUGCGAAAGCGUGGGGAGCAAACAGGAUUAGAUACCCUGGUAGUCCACGCCGUAAACGAUGUCGAUUUGGAGGUUGUGCCCUUGAGGCGUGGCUUCCGGAGCUAACGCGUUAAAUCGACCGCCUGGGGAGUACGGCCGCAAGGUUAAAACUCAAAUGAAUUGACGGGGGCCCGCACAAGCGGUGGAGCAUGUGGUUUAAUUCGAUGCAACGCGAAGAACCUUACCUGGUCUUGACAUCCACAGAACUUUCCAGAGAUGGAUUGGUGCCUUCGGGAACUGUGAGACAGGUGCUGCAUGGCUGUCGUCAGCUCGUGUUGUGAAAUGUUGGGUUAAGUCCCGCAACGAGCGCAACCCUUAUCCUUUGUUGCCAGCGGUCCGGCCGGGAACUCAAAGGAGACUGCCAGUGAUAAACUGGAGGAAGGUGGGGAUGACGUCAAGUCAUCAUGGCCCUUACGACCAGGGCUACACACGUGCUACAAUGGCAUAUACAAAGAGAAGCGACCUCGCGAGAGCAAGCGGACCUCAUAAAGUAUGUCGUAGUCCGGAUUGGAGUCUGCAACUCGACUCCAUGAAGUCGGAAUCGCUAGUAAUCGUAGAUCAGAAUGCUACGGUGAAUACGUUCCCGGGCCU